Molecule: non-coding RNA, 276 nt
Organism: Microcebus murinus (gray mouse lemur)
Lineage: Eukaryota; Metazoa; Chordata; Mammalia; Primates; Cheirogaleidae
Source: RefSeq, a predicted model, not a curated record
AACCGCCAUUUCCUCCGUGUUCUUUCUCCGCGCGUUUCGCGGAGCUCUCGGCAGCGCCAUGUUGGCACAGAGCAUCCGGAGGUUCACAACCUCUGUGGUCCGUAGGAGCCACUAUGAGGAGGGCCCGGGGAAGAAUUUGCCGUUUUCUGUGGAAAAUAAUGAUGCUAUGAUGCUAUGAUGACUGUGUACUUUGGAUCUGGAUUUGCUGCACCUUUCUUCAUUGUAAGACACCAAUUGCUUAAGAAGUAAAGAUGUUUUAAUUCAUCCUUUAACAGA